GGCCGCCGCGCACUCCACAGCAUGCGGUGCGGCACGAAAGAAAAGGAGGCUUUAAACAAACCCGAGCAGCUCGCGGUGCGGCAGUGUGGAGACCUGCCGUAAAGCAUGGCACAGCAAGCCUGUGCAUGCGAGGCGGUUGAAGCGGAGGCUUUGCCGCCAGAGCUGGAAACAUGGC
RNAcentral lists this non-coding RNA (175 nucleotides) under human gut metagenome. RNAcentral's name for it is "malK-I RNA". It matches the Rfam family "malK-I RNA". The record is from RNAcentral. RNAcentral also lists the same sequence under 1 other name.